UACAAGUUUGAUUCUUGCUUUAAAUUCUUAUUAUAUAAAUAAAUAACACAUGAAAAAUUUUACAAUCCAAAUAAAUAAUCACUAAAAGUAAUAUUCACUUUAAUCUUUAAUAAAAUCUCAGUGUAUAAUAUUAAUACAUCAACUAAAAUUGGAAUUAAUAAUUAAUAAAAUUUCCGGCCAAAACUUGUGCCAGCAGCCGCGGUUAUACUUUAAGAAAAAAUAAGAAAACUUUAGCAAAUAGUUAAUUACAUAUCCUCUUAGAUAAACUUAAUAAUAUAAAGAGUGAAAUCAAAAUAUAAUUAUUAACAACAUCUUAUAAAAAUAAUAAAUGAAACUAUAAAAAUUAAAACACAAACUGAGAUUAGAUACCUCACUAUAUUUAAUAUUAAUCUUAACUCUUGAUUAUUAAUAGCUAUAAUCUUUAAAUUCAAAGAAUUUGGCGGUAUUUUAGCCUAGUUAGAGGAACCUGUUUUAUAAUCGACAAACCACGUUAAUUUUACUUGCUUUAAAUAGCCUGUAUACCGUCAUUAUUAGAUAACUUUUAAAGAAAUAGUUAUUAUAAUUAAACUCAAAUUAAAUAUAUUAGAUCAAGGCGCAGCUAAUAUGCAAGUAAAAAUGGGUUACAAUAAAACUUAUUUACCACGAAAUGUUAUAAGAAAAAUAACAUAAAGGAGGAUUUAAUUGUAAUUAUCUAUAAAAAGAUAUUUUGAUAUCAGCUCUAAAAUAUGUACAUAUCGCCCGUCGCUUUCAUUAUUAAAAUGAGAUAAGUCGUAACAUAGUAGGUGUACUGGAAAGUGUCCCUAGAAAUCA
RNAcentral lists this non-coding RNA (810 nucleotides) under Lomis hirta. The record is from RNAcentral. Lineage: Eukaryota; Metazoa; Arthropoda; Malacostraca; Decapoda; Lomidae.